RNAcentral lists this ribosomal RNA (453 nucleotides) under Triticum aestivum (bread wheat). RNAcentral describes it as "partial small subunit ribosomal RNA". Lineage: Eukaryota; Viridiplantae; Streptophyta; Magnoliopsida; Poales; Poaceae. The record is from RNAcentral.
AUGGGUCGCACGAAGCACGCGGUGGCGGCGACGACGGAGACGAAGAAGCGGCUCCGCUUCGAGCUAUCCCCGCGAUGGAGGCCGCCGCCGCCGAUGCGCCAGGUACCGCCGGAGCCGCAGCCGCAGCCGGAGAAGAAGAAGAAGCGGGCGUACCGGUUCCGGCCGGGCACGGUGGCGCUGCGGGAGAUCAGGAAGUACCAGAAGUCCACCGAGCCGCUCAUCCCCUUCGCGCCCUUCGUCCGCCUGGUUAAGGAGAUCACCAACGACCUCACGAAGGGAGAGCUGAACCACUGGACUCCUCAGGCGCUCAUCUCGUUGCAAGAGGCUGCAGAGUAUCACAUAGUCGAUGUAUUUGAAGAGGCAAAUCUAUGUGCCAUCCAUGCUAAGCGUGUUACCAUCAUGCAAAAGGACAUACAGCUUGCGAGGCGUAUCGGGGGGAGAUGGCUUUGGUGA